RNAcentral lists this long non-coding RNA (218 nucleotides) under Capsicum annuum. RNAcentral's name for it is "long non-coding RNA (CANN_LNC021236)". The record is from RNAcentral. Lineage: Eukaryota; Viridiplantae; Streptophyta; Magnoliopsida; Solanales; Solanaceae.
UUUUGCAGCCCGAACUGCAUCACCAGGACACGGAGGAAUAAUCCCUGGAAUCUGAAUGAAAGAGUUGAACUGCUCCUGGAGCAUCCUGAUUUAUGAUGAUGUUUCGUCCUCCUUCUUCUGCACCCUCUCUAAAACUCAUAUUCAUCGAAUUCGUCCUCGUCUUCCACAUCUUCAUCUGUGCUGAGAUCAUCCAGGGAGCGUAGACCUUUUGCAGCCCG